Molecule: RNA transcript, 4255 nt
Organism: Xenopus laevis (African clawed frog)
Lineage: Eukaryota; Metazoa; Chordata; Amphibia; Anura; Pipidae
Gene: nipsnap2.L
Gene name: nipsnap homolog 2 L homeolog
Exons: 11
Source: RefSeq, a predicted model, not a curated record
UGGCUGCCCAAGAUAUUUUUGCGCUGCUCCACCCCCCGCAGCCUGACGUUCAGUGGCAAGCGCAGCAGCCACGGGAAGAUGGCGAGCAGAACCAUGUUGAUGGCUUUGAGUAGAGCAAGCAGAGCCCAGGCCUGCGGGCUGAGACCUUUGGCAAUCAGGGGUCUUGCAUCAUCCAGUCAGAAAUCCAGAGAAGAUAGCUGGUUGAGAUCCCUCUUUGUGCGUAAAGUCGAUCCACGAAAAGAUGCUCAUUCAAACCUGCUGGCCAAAAAGGAGAUCAGUAACUUGUACAAAAUUCAAUUUCACAAUGUGAAGCCAGAGUGCCUGGAAUCUUACAAUAAGCUCUGUGAAGAGUUGCUGCCAAAGAUUCAUGCAGAUGAAGACUAUCCAUGUACUCUGGUUGGAACCUGGAACACAUGGUAUGGGGAGCAAGAUCAGGCUGUUCACCUGUGGAAGUAUGAAGGAGGAUAUCCAGCCCUGACUGAGGUCAUGAAUAAACUAAGGAAAAACAAGGAAUUCACAGAGUUCAGAAAGGCACGGGGCAACAUGCUUCUCUCCCGUAAAAACCAGCUUCUUCUAGAGUUCAGUUUCUGGAAUGAGCCUGUCCCUAGGAAAGGGCCUAAUAUUUAUGAACUAAGAUCCUACCAACUGAGGCCUGGAACCAUGAUCGAAUGGGGAAAUCACUGGGCCCGUGCUAUUAGAUAUCGGCAAGAUGGCGAUGAAGCAGUUGCUGGUUUCUUCUCACAGAUCGGUCACUUAUACAUGGUUCACCAUUUGUGGGCAUAUCAAGACUUGCAGACUAGAGAUGACAUCAGAAAUUCUGCAUGGCAGAAAGAUGGCUGGGAUGAAUGUGUUUACUAUACAGUGCCCCUCAUCCAGGAGAUGGACUCAAGAAUAAUGAUCCCCCUGAAAAGCUCACCCCUUCAGUAACAGACACAGUGCCUCCCUCCAUAGUAAAGAGUGGCAACCUUUCUUUGUAAGAAGACCUAAGUGAAUGGACAGUAUCAUGAUAUCCAGACAAAAGUGUGUUUCAGUAAAUCAUUAGUAUAUAAUUCUGAUCUUUAAUAAUGCUAGAGGCAUGGCAAGUUUCCAGACCAUUUUUCUUAUCCCUGUCCUAAAGCUACAUAGGACCUUUUCAUAACCCAUUAAGUGAUGCAUUAGUAAGUUAAUACACUUUACCUGUUAUGGGGAGGAGGGUUAAUUCCACUUCUGUUACCAAUGCUAAGGGGUCAGAGUUAUGUAAUAAAAGGUGCAAAUAUUGCAUAGCUCUAGUAACCCAAAGCAUAUAAUCUGAUGGUUUUUGUUUUGUUUUUUUUCAAACAUUUAACCUCCCAAUGCUGCCUACUAAUUGGUUUAUUUGGUUUAGUAGCCUAGUAGUAAACUGUGGACAGUUUAUUAAGUCAUCCCCUAGAGUUUUAUGUGUCAAAGCACCAUGAGGAUCUCCUCCUGUUACCAUGGGCAAAAAAUAUUAGUCUGUUUCUGGUGUUUUAGGGAUUAAAAUUAUCUUUACAUGUGUGUUAAUACACUUUACCUUUUAUGGGGAGGAGGGUUAAUUCCACUUCUGCUAAUUCCACCAAUGCUAAGGGUCAGAGUUAUGUAAUAAAAGGUGCAAAUAUUGCAUAGCUCUAGUAACCCACAGCAUAUAAUCUGAUGGGUUUUUAAUCUGGGGUUUUUUUUUCCAAACAUUUGACCUCUACAUGCGAAGCCAAAUGCUAGUAAAAAAGAUCUGAUAACAUGCACUCCUCAUAUUAUAACCUGCUCACUACUAAUCAGUUCAAAGGAGAAGUACUGGUAAUGGUGAAUUGUAAAGGCUAUUUUGAAGAUUCGAAACCUUCCUAUUGCGUUUAUUAGAAAAAGACUGAUCAGCUGUACAUAUAUGAAAAUUGCUGAGUGAGGUUAAAGGAGAGCUAAAUCCCCUCGCUAAUAAAUUGGAAUUACUGGCCCAUCCAAAAAACAUGCUCUCUAAAUAACCGAUAAACCACAAAUAAUGAAAAAAUUAAAACCAUAUGGCAAUUGUCUCAGAAUAUCAUUCUCUAUAUCAUAAUUAAAAGCUAACCCAAAGGUGAACAACCCCUUCAGUUGGUGGAGAGGCCUAAACUUUUGCAGCAAAAAACAUGCAUGUUACAUCAAUUUUAUUCUGUAACAUUUCCAACCUGUAUUUAGAUGUUUUCAUGAAAUUUUAAAUCAGUGAAUUUAAAUGUAAAGUAGUUUGGUGACUUGAAGCACCAGGUUUUUUAUUUUAGUUUGAUAAGCAGUGAUCUAUCAAAGGUGCCUGGAACCUCUGGCUGUCAGCUUUAACUCCUAGUAUCCAUGGAAGGAAAGUCUUCAGGAUUUUGGGAGCUGCAGUUCAUAAACAGCUGGAAAACCACAUGUUGCAUCAUUCUAUACAAUGUAAAAUGGUUUAGAAAUAACACUAAGGGGCCUAUUUAUAAAGGUAAAAAUUACCAAAAAGGAUGUACAAUAACUGGAGCAUUUAUGAAGUUGCUGUCCUUAUGCAUGGAUUUAUUUAUACAGUAAUGCAUUGCAAUUGCAAUUGCAAAAAAUAUCCAUUGCAAAGAGGUAGUUAUGAAAGUGUGAAAUUAUUUUUUUUUACACUUAACGCUGAAAUGUACACCAUCAUUUCAUACCACAGAAACAGCAAUAUACUCCCAUUUUUUUCAACAACACUUUUUUCACACUAACUUAUUUUACAGCCCAUUACACAUGCAUUAAAAUUAAUCCAACGGUUUCAUAACUAAAUCUUAUUUUGAUUGGUGAACUGUGGUGUUAAAGUAGUGAUGCUUGGUUUAUUUCAAUGCAAUUUUUAAUACACAGCUUUAUAUAUAAUAUAAGCCCCUAAGUAAACGAAUUUUUGUAUUUAUUAGGGAUGCACCGAAUCCACUAUUUUGGAUUCGGCCGAACCCCCGAAUCCUUCUCGAAAGAUUCGGCCGAAUACUGAACCGAAUCCUAAUUUGUAAUAAUGAUUUAUAAAUGUGUUCCUUCUGUAGCUAAAAGGACACUAAAAAAACUGGGUUAAUAUAGAAAAUAAGGUAUAAAGUACUCUCUAUUUCAGAAUAUAUGGAUUUGGGAAUUUUCUGAAAAGUUUCAUGACAAUAUAAAGGCAACAGGCUAUAUACUUAAAUUUUUUUUAUAAAGAUAAAAGUUUCAAUAAAUCAUGUAUAGUGUAAUAAAUACAAGCUUAAAGUCUAAAAUGUUACGGUCACUAUUAAUGCUGUUACAUACAUUUGAUUUGCAUCUACUAGGCCUCCUCAAAAUAGUGGUUACCCACUUUCCCUCUAAGUCUAAGGCUUUUGGUUAACUUGCUAGUGGUAAUGAUAUAAAAAAUUUAGGACACAAUUAAAAAGAUCCAGGUAGAAGGGCAUCGGUGAUCAUUUAAAUGCAGCCCAGCCACUUGUAUUAUUUUAAGAAGUAUCACUGAUUUUUUAAGAGAUCUGUACUCAUUUUAAUGUGAUCAAGCAGUGGCAUAACUACCAGGGGAGCAGGGGGUGCGAUUGGGCCAGGGCUCGCACCCCCUCAGGGCCCCCGGCAGCUCGUGCGCCACUGACUCCCACUGAUUCUGGGACUCCGGCGGCAGAAAAAAUGGCGUACGGAGGGGGGGGCAGGGGGCCCGCCCCCCUCUAGUUACCUUACUGUGAUCACGUAAAUGUCUGUGGUUUAAUGUUACCAGAUCACUUGAAAAAUUAGGGACACGUGUUCAGAAGAACACAUCUAGCCCUCCAUGUCUUCAAAAAGCUCAAGCCAAAAUAAUCCAGCCAGUGUCUGUGAAUUGGUGGCCUCUGUGCACUGGGUGCAUUCGGUAUGGUGGUAGCAAUAGAAUGGGUUUCAUAUAUCCUCACUGGUGCUUUGAUAUUAAAAUGACUAGUAUAAUCAGGUCCAGUGUUUCAUUUCUAAAACAGAAUUGUUUGAGAUUAUUUAAAUCCUGUGUUCGAUAUAGAUUUAUACCAGAUAAGCUUAGGAGACUUCAUAAUCACUGAUUUGAAGAUAAGGCAAAACCAACUUUCACACUCCUACUUUACCAGUAAAGCUGUGUUUGGGGGGGUUAAACCAUUUGCACUUUAGCUUUUACUGGAAAUAGGGGUAAUAUUGUAUGUUAUUACGAAGUUAAAUGUUAAAAAAAGAUAAGGUUGUAUCUAUUUUCACUCCCAAACGUAAAAAGGAAAAAAGCUAAUGUUUCUAUGCUGUUACAAAAUGAAAGGUCAUCUUGUGAUAAGAAUAUUUGGUUCUCUGUUAAACAAUAUUAAUAAACAUUUUAUUUGAA